Molecule: ribosomal RNA, 821 nt
Filed under: Staphylococcus aureus M0656
Lineage: Bacteria; Bacillati; Bacillota; Bacilli; Caryophanales; Staphylococcaceae
Also listed under: 2 other names
Description: bacterial SSU rRNA
Rfam family: Bacterial small subunit ribosomal RNA
Source: RNAcentral
AGAGUUUGAUCCUGGCUCAGGAUGAACGCUGGCGGCGUGCCUAAUACAUGCAAGUCGAGCGAACGGACGAGAAGCUUGCUUCUCUGAUGUUAGCGGCGGACGGGUGAGUAACACGUGGAUAACCUACCUAUAAGACUGGGAUAACUUCGGGAAACCGGAGCUAAUACCGGAUAAUAUUUUGAACCGCAUGGUUCAAAAGUGAAAGACGGUCUUGCUGUCACUUAUAGAUGGAUCCGCGCUGCAUUAGCUAGUUGGUAAGGUAACGGCUUACCAAGGCAACGAUGCAUAGCCGACCUGAGAGGGUGAUCGGCCACACUGGAACUGAGACACGGUCCAGACUCCUACGGGAGGCAGCAGUAGGGAAUCUUCCGCAAUGGGCGAAAGCCUGACGGAGCAACGCCGCGUGAGUGAUGAAGGUCUUCGGAUCGUAAAACUCUGUUAUUAGGGAAGAACAUAUGUGUAAGUAACUGUGCACAUCUUGACGGUACCUAAUCAGAAAGCCACGGCUAACUACGUGCCAGCAGCCGCGGUAAUACGUAGGUGGCAAGCGUUAUCCGGAAUUAUUGGGCGUAAAGCGCGCGUAGGCGGUUUUUUAAGUCUGAUGUGAAAGCCCACGGCUCAACCGUGGAGGGUCAUUGGAAACUGGAAAACUUGAGUGCAGAAGAGGAAAGUGGAAUUCCAUGUGUAGCGGUGAAAUGCGCAGAGAUAUGGAGGAACACCAGUGGCGAAGGCGACUUUCUGGUCUGUAACUGACGCUGAUGUGCGAAAGCGUGGGGAUCAAACAGGAUUAGAUACCCUGGUAGUCCACGCCGUAAACGAUG